AAAGGCUUACCUAAGGCGAUGAUGCAUAGCCCGAGUUGAGAGACUGAUCGGGCCACAUUGGGGACUGAGACACGGGGCCCAAACUCCUACGGGGGGAGGGGGCAGCAGUAGGGGGAAGUCUUCCACAAUGGACGCAAGUCUGAUGGAGCAACGCCGCGUGAGUGAAGAAGGUUUUCGGAUCGUAAAGCUCUGUUGUUGGUGAAGAAGGAUAGAGGUAGUAACUGGCCUUUAUUUGACGGUAAUCAACCAGAAAGUCACGGCUAACUACGUGCCAGCAGCCGCGGUAAU
Molecule: ribosomal RNA, 288 nt
Filed under: uncultured Lactobacillus sp.
Lineage: Bacteria; Bacillati; Bacillota; Bacilli; Lactobacillales; Lactobacillaceae
Description: partial 16S ribosomal RNA
Rfam family: Bacterial small subunit ribosomal RNA
Source: RNAcentral